This 208-nucleotide ribosomal RNA is filed under the name uncultured bacterium. Its description in RNAcentral is "partial 16S ribosomal RNA". It matches the Rfam family "Bacterial small subunit ribosomal RNA", at positions 1293 to 1500 of the family's 1533-position model. The record is from RNAcentral.
UCGGAUUGUAGUCUGCAACCCGACUACAUGAAGCUGGAAUCGCUAGUAAUCGCGGAUCAGAAUGCCGCGGUGAAUACGUUCCCGGGUCUUGUACACACCGCCCGUCACACCAUGGGAGUCGGAAAUGCCCGAAGUCUGUGACCCAACCUACGGGAGGGAGCAGCCGAAGGCAGGUCGGAUGACUGGGGUGAAGUCGUAACAAGGUAAC